UUGAGUAAUUCAUUCUUGUUGAUGGUCUGCAAAAUUCUAUCAACGCUGCUGGAUUUAUAUCCCUCGUUUUAAGCUAGAUGAUAAGUAAAUACAUGUAACAACUUGAACCUCUAAAACUAAUCCAUUCAUGGUCAUACGUGGGAAGCCAAUUUUGGCGUUUGGUGGUGGAAGGACACUCCGACCGGGGGAUUCAGUUGAGACCGCUGAAGAGAGGAUUGUGAGAGAAAAGCAGACAAAAAAAUUUCUCAUAGCCUACAAGGAAUCAAUCGGACUGAAUAUUGAUCCCAAACUCAAACUUGAGUGUGAGAAGGCAAUAGACGAGGGGAACUCGCUUAUGGAUUCUGGGAGACUCAAGGAAGCUUUGCCAUACUAUGAAAAGGUCAUGGAGAAAUUUCUGCAAAUCUGGUUUAUUGUUCAUGUCUACGUUUAUGCGUAAGUCUACUAAUACCUUUCUAUAUAUGCCUUGCUUGUUUUGACUGCAUGAGACUUGUUCAUUAUCUACCCAGCAGUAUUUUGCAUUAUUAGUUUCAUUGCUUUGUUGGGUGUCACUCUAUCGAAAUCUUAAUCGAUUGAUCCACCUAGAUCACCUAGAGUAGUCUGCUUCAGAUGUGACCUUAACUAGUUACGAGUUUAGUUGUGCAGAGUGAGCUUCAUGGACUAGCGGCUUUGCAGUGGUCUAUUUGUCAGGAUUCACUUCGAAAGUAAGUUUUUCUCUCCUUAUAAUUUCGGUUGAUGCAACUACAGGGUGACAACUGACAAGUAUUUCUCCAUGAGUAUUUGACUUUGUAAUAGACUCGUAUAUAUUUGUAUUUGUAAACCAUACUCCCAAAACUCUAUCAAGCUCCAAAAGUCCCCAAGAAAACCACAAAAUACUUGAAGCAUCCCCUGUUUAUACCUACCAAGUUGAUGGCUCAUUUGUGAAUGUUCUAAAAUAUCCUCAAAAGUAGUCUUGUUGAGUGAUGUCAAAAAAAAAAAGAAAAUGUAUUCUUGUUGAGUAUUGUGGCAAGGCGCAUGUAUGAGAAGCUUCUAUCCCACCCGAAUCCGAGAGUGAGCAAGAAAGCGAGGCAGUUGAUGUUCAGUUUUCAGGCAAUGGAGAUGCUGAAGGUUAAGGGGUCGAGCUUCAUGGAGGGAAACACUGGUUAUCAGGACUACUUUGAAGCCUUUGACAAAGAUAAAACGAAUUACAAAGCGCAGGAGGAAAAAGAAGGAGAGGCAAUGGGGAUAUGUGAUUCUUUUUGCGUCUCCGAUUCUAAUGGUCUUCAUUUUGUGGCUGCACUGAGAGGGAAUAUGCACUGAAGUCACAAAAUCUUGUCAACUUCUUUACAUGUAAGUGUUAUAG
Molecule: RNA transcript, 1339 nt
Organism: Arabidopsis lyrata subsp. lyrata
Lineage: Eukaryota; Viridiplantae; Streptophyta; Magnoliopsida; Brassicales; Brassicaceae
Exons: 4
Source: RefSeq, a predicted model, not a curated record